RNAcentral lists this transfer RNA (74 nucleotides) under Candidatus Peregrinibacteria bacterium. Its description in RNAcentral is "tRNA-Asp". It matches the Rfam family "tRNA". From Rfam's summary of the family: Transfer RNA (tRNA) molecules are approximately 80 nucleotides in length. Their secondary structure includes four short double-helical elements and three loops (D, anti-codon, and T loops). The record is from RNAcentral. Lineage: Bacteria; Candidatus Peregrinibacteriota.
GGGACGGUAGCUCAGUUGGUUAGAGCGCUGCCCUGUCACGGCAGAGAUCGCGGGUCCGAGUCCCGUCCGUCCCG